AGUGAACGCUGGCGGUAGGCCUAACACAUGCAAGUCGAACGGCAGCACAGUAAGAGCUUGCUCUUACGGGUGGCGAGUGGCGGACGGGUGAGGAAUACAUCGGAAUCUACUUUUUCGUGGGGGAUAACGUAGGGAAACUUACGCUAAUACCGCAUACGACCUACGGGCGAAAGCAGGGGAUCUUCGGACCUUGCGCGAUUGAAUGAGCCGAUGUCGGAUUAGCUAGUUGGCGGGGUAAAGGCCCACCAAGGCGACGAUCCGUAGCUGGUCUGAGAGGAUGAUCAGCCACACUGGAACUGAGACACGGUCCAGACUCCUACGGGAGGCAGCAGUGGGGAAUAUUGGACAAUGGGCGCAAGCCUGAUCCAGCCAUACCGCGUGGGUGAAGAAGGCCUUCGGGUUGUAAAGCCCUUUUGUUGGGAAAGAAAAGCAGCAGGUUAAUACCCCGCUGUUCUGACAGUACCCAAAGAAUAAGCACCGGCUAACUUCGUG
RNAcentral lists this ribosomal RNA (492 nucleotides) under uncultured bacterium. Its description in RNAcentral is "partial 16S ribosomal RNA". It matches the Rfam family "Bacterial small subunit ribosomal RNA", at positions 29 to 507 of the family's 1533-position model. The record is from RNAcentral.